Molecule: ribosomal RNA, 407 nt
Filed under: uncultured bacterium
Lineage: Bacteria
Description: partial 16S ribosomal RNA
Rfam family: Bacterial small subunit ribosomal RNA
Source: RNAcentral
GACGAACGCUGGCGGCGUGCCUAAUACAUGCAAGUAGGACGCAGUUGCGAACGGGUGAGUAACGCGUAUGUAACUGCCUAUUAGAGGGGGAUAACUAUUGGAAACGAUAGCUAAUACCGCAUACUAGUAGAUGGACCUGCGUUGUAUUAGCUAGUAGGUAGGGUAAUGGCCUACCUAGGCGACGAUACAUAGCCGAACUGGGAGGGUGAUAGGCAACACUGGGACUGAGACACGGCCCAGACGAAUACGGGAGGCAGCAGUAGGGAAGCUGCGGCAAUGGGGGGAACCCUGACCAAGCAACGCAGCGUGAGUGAAGAGGGUGUUCGGAUCGUAAAGCUCUGUUGUUAAGGAAGCGGUACUUAACCAGAAAGGGACGGCUAACUACGUGCCAGCCGCCGCGGUAAUUC